GAUGAACGCUGGCGGCGUGCCUAAUACAUGCAAGUCGAGCGAACGGACGAGAAGCUUGCUUCUCUGAUGUUAGCGGCGGACGGGUGAGCAACACGUGGAUAACCUACCUAUAAGACUGGGAUAACUUCGGGAAACCGGAGCUAAUACCGGAUGAUAUUUUGAACCGCAUGGUUCAAAAGUGAAAGACGGUCUUGCUGUCACUUAUAGAUGGAUCCGCGCUGCAUUAGCUAGUUGGUAAGGUAACGGCUUACCAAGGCAACGAUGCAUAGCCGACCUGAGAGGGUGAUCGGCCACACUGGAACUGAGACACGGUCCAGACUCCUACGGGAGGCAGCAGUAGGGAAUCCUCCGCAAUGGGCGAAAGCCUGACGGAGCAACGCCGCGUGAGUGAUGAAGGUCUUCGGAUCGUAAAACUCUGUUAUUAGGGAAGAACAUAUGUGUAAGUAACUGUGCACAUCUUGACGGUACCUAAUCAGAAAGCCACGGCUAACUACGUG
RNAcentral lists this ribosomal RNA (497 nucleotides) under uncultured bacterium. Its description in RNAcentral is "partial 16S ribosomal RNA". It matches the Rfam family "Bacterial small subunit ribosomal RNA", at positions 28 to 507 of the family's 1533-position model. The record is from RNAcentral.